Gopherus flavomarginatus (Mexican gopher tortoise) is the source of this 1065-nucleotide long non-coding RNA. RefSeq lists it as uncharacterized. NCBI's taxonomy places the organism in Eukaryota, Metazoa, Chordata, Testudines, Testudinidae. The transcript has 4 exons. The record is from RefSeq and is a predicted model, not a curated record.
AGUAGCGAGUGACAGACUGCAGUGGCUGGCUUAACCUCCAAACAAAGCACAAGUCUAUGGCUCUCUUGGGUGGGCUGCUGAAGGAAGGAGUUCAUGCAGGUUCUUUUACUGUGUCAGCACGCUGAGCUGCGCUAUGGUACUUGGCCGCUGAAGGGGCUGCAUUAUUAACCAUUUGGUACUGAGGACAAAAGAACUAAUCAAAUGAAUCCUGGUACCCUAGGACAGGAGGGGUCUACUGGAAGAGGAUGGGGAACUCACUAUCAGUACAACUGGGAUCUCUGGAAAUGGGCUGGUUUGACCAAAGAGCUUCUGUGUCAGCAACCUGUUCUUUUCAGCAGAGCAUCCACUUGAAAGUGCUUUAUAGCCAGUAGGUAAGUAUCAACACUUUCCGAUGAAGGCAAGCCUUGCCAUUCCCAUUUUACAGAUAAGGAAGCAGAGACAGACUUUAGAGACAAAGUUCUAGAAGUAGCCUAUUAUUUUGACUGCCAAUCUUUAGAUACCGACUGCUUGAUUUUCACAGGUACCAAAAAUCCAUAGCUCCCACUGAAGGUCAAUUUGAGCUCUGGGUGCUCGGCACCUAUGAAAAUCAGGCUAUAGCUGUCUAAAGAUAGACAUCCAAAAUCAGAGCUCACUUCUGAAAGUUUGUACAUAAGUGACUAGCCAAAGGCCACAUGAUAAGUUAGUGGCAGAAUCAAGAGUUGAACCUAGAAGGUCUGACACUCAACAUCACGCUAUAAGCACCAGAUGACCCUGGUAUAAUGUAUAAAGGCAGCGACACAACACAAGGAAUUCCCACAGAUUUGAACUACUUGUCAAUUAUGCUGUGAAAGAAAAUAUCUUCUUGUAAGGAGAUUUAUCUUAAUUUUGAACAGAAAUCUAUUUGGUAAGAAAUGGCCUUCUGUUCAUGGUUUAACACUUUUAUUAGAAUUGCACAUCCAUUUAGACUCAGAAAGGCAUUUCUUCUUUCCCCACUUCCAUUGCUGAAACCACAGGCUUCCACUGAAUUAUUCAUUCUGAUGUUUCUCAGGCACUGAAAUACCUGGGCAUCAGAUACUCUCACAUGUA